RNAcentral lists this ribosomal RNA (413 nucleotides) under uncultured bacterium. Its description in RNAcentral is "bacterial SSU rRNA". It matches the Rfam family "Bacterial small subunit ribosomal RNA", at positions 30 to 443 of the family's 1533-position model. The record is from RNAcentral.
AUUGAACGCUGGCGGCAUGCCUUACACAUGCAAGUCGAACGGCAGCACGGGAGCAAUCCUGGUGGCGAGUGGCGAACGGGUGAGUAAUAUAUCGGAACGUGCCCGGUCGUGGGGAUAACGUAGCGAAAGCUACGCUAAUACCGCAUACGAUCUACGGAUGAAAGCGGGGGAUCGCAAGACCUCGCGCGAUUGGAGCGGCCGAUAUCAGAUUAGGUAGUUGGUGAGGUAAAGGCUCACCAAGCCGACGAUCUGUAGCUGGUCUGAGAGGACGACCAGCCACACUGGGACUGAGACACGGCCCAGACUCCUACGGGAGGCAGCAGUGGGGAAUUUUGGGACAAUGGGCGCAAGCCUGAUCCAGCAAUGCCGCGUGCAGGAUGAAGGCCUUCGGGUUGUAAACUGCUUUGUUACGG